Long non-coding RNA from Cynoglossus semilaevis (tongue sole), 767 nucleotides. RefSeq lists it as uncharacterized. The record is from RefSeq and is a predicted model, not a curated record. The transcript has 4 exons. NCBI's taxonomy places the organism in Eukaryota, Metazoa, Chordata, Actinopteri, Pleuronectiformes, Cynoglossidae.
GAGUGACCGUGGAAGCUGCCCCUAGACCUCCUGGAGGAUGUGCCUCCACUGGACUCACUGUGUCCUCCAAUCAUGUGGACUCGCACCUCUUUGCCGUCUGUGUUAGCAGCCGCUCCGCCUGAAGCUGGUGUCCUGUGUGUUGGCUGUAGACUGCUUCAUUUUCGCCUUCUACUGGCAGACUAUUGGAAUGACACCUUCGCCGAGGAAUCAAGGAUCAGAUGAUCCACUGUGGCGACCCCUGAACGGAGCAGCCGAGAGAGGAAGAAGAAGACACAAUCUAAACACUGCAGCCGUGCUGUCGGUGUGCACUGAUAAUCUCUGAGUCACUGCUCCUCUGUGCAGGGCUACUGCUUUGUUGUUGUUUGCACCAACAUCAGCGGGACCUGCAAAAGGUCAACGGCUGCUGCUACUGAGGAGAGUAAGAAACCGUCGUGAUCACAACAGCUGCAUAUAAACAGACGUAACAGAGACUGGGUUUAUUUACUAGUGUAAAUGACGUGAGCCGUUACUGUGUGGAGAAGGAGGAAUGUAAGCAGACCGCUUCAUGUUGAAGCGACGUCUUCCAGAAGAGAAGACAACACUGUGGAUUUCCACUCUCAGUGAUAAAAUACUGCGACAGAUAUUCUCCAUUUAAAAGAUGGUAUACAUCCCUCCGUCCUGCUGUAGCUUCUUCCACUUUGUACAUGAAAAUAUUUUUUUAAGCAUUCAUUUAUCAUUAAUUGUUAAAUUAUUUAGGAGUAUGAGGACAAAUAAAUAUAUUUUUCCUA